GGUGUCGAAAGACUUAAUAGGGAAGCCGGAGAGCAAGAUGCCGGCGCGGUCCCGCCACUGUAACAGCGAGUGAAUCUGCAUAAGUUAUGUCACUGGGAGAUGGGUGCAUCUUUUGGGAAGGCGCAGAAGAACGAUGACCUGGAGCCAGGAGAACUGCCUGAUUAC
RNAcentral lists this non-coding RNA (165 nucleotides) under uncultured Selenomonas sp. Lineage: Bacteria; Bacillati; Bacillota; Negativicutes; Selenomonadales; Selenomonadaceae. The record is from RNAcentral.